This 425-nucleotide ribosomal RNA is filed under the name uncultured bacterium. Its description in RNAcentral is "bacterial SSU rRNA". It matches the Rfam family "Bacterial small subunit ribosomal RNA", at positions 356 to 773 of the family's 1533-position model. The record is from RNAcentral.
GGGGAAUUUUGGACAAUGGGCGCAAGCCUGAUCCAGCCAUGCCGCGUGAGUGAAGAAGGCCUUCGGGUUGUAAAGCUCUUUCGGCCGGAACGAAAUCGACUAGGCCAAUACCCUGGUCGGAUGACGGUACCGGAAGAAGAAGCACCGGCUAACUACGUGCCAGCAGCCGCGGUAAUACGUAGGGUGCAGGCGUUAAUCGGAAUUACUGGGCGUAAAGCGUGCGCAGGCGGCUUCCUAAGUCAGAUGUGAAAUCCCCGGGCUCAACCUGGGAACUGCGUUUGAAACUGGGAGGCUAGAGUGCGGCAGAGGGAGGUGGAAUUCCACGUGUAGCAGUGAAAUGCGUAGAUAUGUGGAGGAACACCGAUGGCGAAGGCAGCCUCCUGGGCCAGCACUGACGCUCAUGCACGAAAGCGUGGGGAGCAAAC